Molecule: ribosomal RNA, 118 nt
Organism: Ursus americanus (American black bear)
Lineage: Eukaryota; Metazoa; Chordata; Mammalia; Carnivora; Ursidae
Source: Ensembl
GUCUCCAGCCAUUCUAUCCUGAAUGUGCCAGAUCUCCUCUGAUCUUAGACACUGAGCAGGGCUGGGCCUGGUUAGUGCUUGGAUGGGCAAUAGGAAAGAGUCCAUUAGCUUGGAAACA